RNAcentral lists this small RNA (1436 nucleotides) under Arabidopsis thaliana (thale cress). RNAcentral's name for it is "ATSL193690". Lineage: Eukaryota; Viridiplantae; Streptophyta; Magnoliopsida; Brassicales; Brassicaceae. The record is from RNAcentral.
UUAAUAAAAGCUUAAGGUGUUGUAAUUUUUUUUUACUUUGAAUAUCUAUUUAUCUUGAAUUUUACUUGACUAUUUUGUUCUCUCACUUCCACUCUCUCAAUUAUUUUGCAAUUCUUCUUACUUCUCUCUACAAUUUCUGAAAACAUGUAAGUUUUUGGUGUAUAAAAUGUAUCUCUUACCUUAGGUGGUUCUGACGAAGUGUGUCCUGUUUUAUUUUGAACAUGAAGAUUUUGUACAUGUUACGUUGGUUAUAUAUAGAUGUCCGAAAACAUAUUGCGAGGGAUUUGCGAGGGAUUUGCGAGGAACUUGCGAGGAACAGCGCUAUUUUCCUACGAAUUUGCGAAAGAAGGUCAACUACCAACCAAAGCAGGAAGAUUAUUUAAAACGUGCUGACCUAACCUGCCAAGGACUCGCAACUCCGACGCAAAAUUUGCUACAAAAAGUUUGUACGCCGCAAGUUUACCGCAGUUUGCGAGGCUCUUAUCGUACAGCAAAUCCUCGCAAGUUGCGAUGACUUUGCGAGGAAUUCUUCCGUCGUUGCAAUUUUCUCGCAGUUGCCACGCAAUAUUGCGUGGGAAUUCUCCCUCGCAAAUUUUGCGACUGAUUAACGACGUAUUGGUUUUCCCCGCGCAAAGUGCUCGCAAGUCUAUAGAAAUUUGCGAUGGAUUUAUGCCAUCUCAAAUUUCAUUCGCAAAUCGCCUGUUUUCUUGUAGAUUGAGAGAGAUUUCAAAGAGAUAGAAGGGGACAGUGGAGAGGUUGAGAGAGAUUUCAAAGAGAUUGAGGGAGAGUUGAGAUGUGAGAGAAAUGAAAGGAAAAUUGAGUUUUGAAAAAAAUAAGCGUAAAACUGAUUUGGAAAAAAGAAUCAAUUGCCGCAUAAUUUUUUUGUUUUGGAGGGUAAAGUUUGGUGCCUGAUGCUUUUCCAACGGUGAAACUUUUACCCUCGCAAAUCCGUCGGAAAUAUAAAAUAUUUUUCUUAUACAUGUAUAAAGUCAUCAUCUCAUUUCCAAAUAAGUGAACUCGGCGUUACAAACAAGCUCUUGAGAUACUUAUAACAUCGAUCAUUUCCUUUUCGUGACUAGUUUUCAUGUCCUUGGAGUGAAAUUUCUGUGAAUCUGCAUUGAGAAUUAGAUUUGAUAUAAUCUUGCUUGGUUUGACUUGAGUACUAGCUCACAAAACUUCAACCUAAGGCAAAUUUUCUAAGUUUAUGAUAGUUAUGUGUGUUUAUUGAUGCACAAAAAUGCAUUGAUGUGCAUUCUUCUAGGAGCUUAUUCAAGUCUGACUUAUAACAUGUUACAGAGUGGAUGGUUCAGAUAAGAAUCAAAGAUCUCAGAUGAUGAUUAUGGCGGGACGUUACUGCAUGUGACGAGUUCUCCACUUAGAUUUGAUCGAUAACUCUAACCGCACAAUAAUAGUGCUAAAUUGAAAUAGAAAUUUAA